UAGGGAAUCUUCGGCAAUGGACGAAAGUCUGACCGAGCAACGCCGCGUGAGUGAAGAAGGUUUUCGGAUCGUAAAACUCUGUUGUUAGAGAAGAACAAGGACGUUAGUAACUGAACGUCCCCUGACGGUAUCUAACCAGAAAGCCACGGCUAACUACGUGCCAGCAGCCGCGGUAAUACGUAGGUGGCAAGCGUUGUCCGGAUUUAUUGGGCGUAAAGCGAGCGCAGGCGGUUUCUUAAGUCUGAUGUGAAAGCCCCCGGCUCAACCGGGGAGGGUCGUUGGAAACUGGGAGACUUGAGUGCGGAAGAGGAGAGUGGAAUUCCAUGUGUGGCGGUGAAAUGCGUAGAUAUAUGGAGGAAUACCGGUGGCGAAGGCGGCCCCCUGGACAAAGACUGACGCUCAGGUGCGAAAGCGUGGGGAGCAAACAGG
This 429-nucleotide ribosomal RNA is filed under the name Chloroflexota bacterium. Its description in RNAcentral is "Chloroflexi bacterium partial 16S ribosomal RNA". It matches the Rfam family "Bacterial small subunit ribosomal RNA", at positions 355 to 776 of the family's 1533-position model. Lineage: Bacteria; Bacillati; Chloroflexota. The record is from RNAcentral.